GUCUCAAACAUUUACCACUUAGGCUGCGUUUCCACUGGAGAGGAGCUGAGCUGCGUUGUGAGGAAUGUGCUUUACAAGAACCAAUAGCUGAAUCGUUGCGCUGAACGUGGUCAAGCAAAUGAUGCGU
Molecule: long non-coding RNA, 127 nt
Organism: Aricia agestis (brown argus)
Lineage: Eukaryota; Metazoa; Arthropoda; Insecta; Lepidoptera; Lycaenidae
Exons: 3
Source: RefSeq, a predicted model, not a curated record